Molecule: transfer RNA, 75 nt
Filed under: Bacteroidota bacterium
Lineage: Bacteria; Pseudomonadati; Bacteroidota
Also listed under: 3 other names
Description: tRNA-Val
Rfam family: tRNA
About the family: Transfer RNA (tRNA) molecules are approximately 80 nucleotides in length. Their secondary structure includes four short double-helical elements and three loops (D, anti-codon, and T loops).
Source: RNAcentral
GGGAUCUUAGCUCAGCUGGUUCAGAGCACCUGCCUUACAAGCAGGGGGUCACUGGUUCGAAUCCAGUAGGUCCCA